This 283-nucleotide small RNA is filed under the name Photobacterium ganghwense. RNAcentral describes it as "5' ureB small RNA". It matches the Rfam family "5' ureB small RNA". The record is from Rfam by way of RNAcentral. Lineage: Bacteria; Pseudomonadati; Pseudomonadota; Gammaproteobacteria; Vibrionales; Vibrionaceae.
CUUCUUCAAUUUGCUGCGGGCAUAUGUAGUGGAUGUGUGAGUCAAUACCACCGGCGGUCAGAAUAGAGCCCUCACCGGCCAGAAUCUCCGUCCCCGGCCCGAUCACUAUGUCUACCCCUCGCUGCACAUCAGGAUUCCCGGCCUUUCCGAUUCCCGCGAUACGGCCAUUUUUCACCGCAACAUCGGCUUUCACGAUGCCCCAAUGAUCAAGGAUGACGGCAUUGGUGAUCACCAGAUCCGGCACCUCUGCACACAGGGCCUGACUUUGUCCCAUCCCAUCACG